This 253-nucleotide ribosomal RNA is filed under the name uncultured bacterium. RNAcentral describes it as "partial 16S ribosomal RNA". It matches the Rfam family "Bacterial small subunit ribosomal RNA", at positions 524 to 776 of the family's 1533-position model. The record is from RNAcentral.
GGCGAACCGGCCGAACGUUAUUCGGAAUCAUUGGGCUUAAAGGGUGCGUAGGCGGUGCGGUAAGUUGGGUGUGAAAUCCCUCGGCUCAACCGAGGAACUGCGCUCAAUACUGCCGUGCUUGAGGAAGACAGAGGCGAGCGGAACUGAUGGUGGAGCGGUGAAAUGCGUUGAUAUCAUCAGGAACACCAGUGGCGAAAGCGGCUCGCUGGGUCUUUUCUGACGCUGAGGCACGAAAGCUAGGGUAGCGCUCAGG